CAAGUUAGAGUGUACUGUCAACCUCAUCUUUACAUUUCAGCUCUUGUGCAAUACAUUCAGCCUUUAUACAGCUCUCAUAGCUGUGUAUCUGGGAUAUCGAAAUAUCUCAAAUGAAACCAAAUGUUUACAGAAGUUCACUUUGCUACUGUGUAAAAUCACUCUCAUUUCUCUCUGCCAAGUAGUCCGUGAGGUGAGAACAGGGCUGUUUACUGCACAAAUGCAAAAUCGAGUACAAGAGGAAACAACAGAGGAACAAAAUUCAGACCUGAGUCCUGGUGGAAGUUCCAUGAUAUUAGUUCCACUGAAGCUUUUAUUUGAGACGUUGGCAAUUUUGCUCUUCAGAUCCCUGACACCAGCUGGAAUUUUCAGUUCUACACGGAGGUAUUGUAGAAUCCAUGGUCUUCAGCCAUUCCUUGAACUUCAGAAAAUUCACUCAGGUCUGGAAGAAGGAUAUGUUCCUUGAAGGGUGCCAGAUGGUGAAGACUGUUGAUUUGAAGAAGACUGUGCAGAAAGGAGGCUUCUCUAGCCUGUAGAAGGGGGCAUUUGGAUAUCAAGGUCCCAGCCCUGAUGCUAUCUAUACCUGAGAAGAACAUUCUGGUGGAACCCUGCCUCAAGGGAAGCCUUCCACAGAAAUGGAGCUCGCUGGGGCAGCUCAGGUUGAACACAUAGCACUGCCAGGCAAGGGACUCCUCAGCCACCCUUAUCAAGCUCCAAUGGCCAGCCUGCCUCCUCUAACUGCUACAAAGAGAAUUUUCAGGAAGAAUCCAACCCAUCUCAUAUAGGCCUUGAACAGUAAUGCUCACAAUGUUUGGACACUUCAGAGAACAUAACUUUCAAUGUCUACAGAUACUCUCUUGGAUGAGCCAAAUGACUACCCUUAGAUUAUAAGUGUGAUGUAGACCAAAGGCACAUACACACGGUGUUGCUUCAGCUCAGAGAAUCAGCAGUAGCAUGAUGGAAUGGCCACUUGAAGACCCAUCCCAGGUGAUUUGAAUGAGCAACUCACAUCAGCGCAGACCUCUCAAAAGCGAUGUUUACAAGACUGUUAUGUUCAACAAUUUCCAAGCUGUUUCCAAUUGUGACUACGCUUCCAGUUGAGAUACACUUGCAGAAACAAUUUAAUUUCUUUCAGAUGAAUGCUCCUUCUCACAAUGAUUAUCUAUGGAAUUGCUGUCUCUACUGUUUCCC
Long non-coding RNA from Gallus gallus (chicken), 1188 nucleotides. NCBI's taxonomy places the organism in Eukaryota, Metazoa, Chordata, Aves, Galliformes, Phasianidae. The record is from Ensembl.